RNAcentral lists this ribosomal RNA (298 nucleotides) under uncultured soil bacterium. RNAcentral describes it as "partial 16S ribosomal RNA". It matches the Rfam family "Bacterial small subunit ribosomal RNA", at positions 26 to 316 of the family's 1533-position model. The record is from RNAcentral.
AGAACGAACGCUGGCGGCGCGCUUAACACAUGCAAGUCGAACGAGAAGCUGUAGCAAUACAGUUGUAAAGUGGCAAACGGGUGAGUAAUGCGUGGGUAAUCUACCCUCGGGUGGGGAAUAACUCUUCGAAAGGAGAGCUAAUGCCGAACAUGUGCAGCACUUUUGCAAGGAAGUGCUGGAAAGCCGUAUCGUGGAUACGGCGCCCAAGGAUGAGCUCACGUCCUAUCAGCUUGUUGGCGGGGUAACGCCCACAAGGCUCCGACGGGUAGCUGGUCUGAGAGGACGACAGCCACACUGG